This 492-nucleotide ribosomal RNA is filed under the name uncultured bacterium. RNAcentral describes it as "partial 16S ribosomal RNA". It matches the Rfam family "Bacterial small subunit ribosomal RNA", at positions 29 to 507 of the family's 1533-position model. The record is from RNAcentral.
AGUGAACGCUGGCGGUAGGCCUAACACAUGCAAGUCGAACGGCAGCACAGUAAGAGCUUGCUCUUACGGGUGGCGAGUGGCGGACGGGUGAGGAAUACAUCGGAAUCUACUUUUUCGUGGGGGAUAACGUAGGGAAACUUACGCUAAUACCGCAUACGACCUACGGGUGAAAGCAGGGGAUCUUCGGACCUUGCGCGAUUGAAUGAGCCGAUGUCGGAUUAGCUAGUUGGCGGGGUAAAGGCCCACCAAGGCGACGAUCCGUAGCUGGUCUGAGAGGAUGAUCACCCACACUGGAACUGAGACACGGUCCAGACUCCUACGGGAGGCAGCAGUGGGGAAUAUUGGACAAUGGGCGCAAGCCUGAUCCAGCCAUACCGCGUGGGUGAAGAAGGCCUUCGGGUUUUAAAGCCCUUUUGUUGGGAAAGAAAAGCAGCAGGUUAAUACCCCGCUGUUCUGACGGUACCCAAAGAACAAGCACCGGCUAACUUCGUG